CCUGGAACUCACUUUGUGACUAUACUGGCCUCAAACUCAUAGAGAUCCUCCUGCCUCUGCCUCCUGAGUGCUGGGAUUAAAGGUGUGUGCCACCACUGCCCAGCUCUUUUUUUUUUUCUUUCUUUUUAAAGACAGGACCUCAUUGUAGCCUAGUCUGGUCUCAAACCUACUUUAUAGAUAAAGAUGACCUUUAACUCCUGCUUUUCCUACGUCUACCUCUGAAAUGUUAGGAUUACAGGUAUGUGUUACAAUGCUUGGUUCCUUUUAUUUCAUUUUAAGGAAAAGAUUAUUUUAAAAAUGGUUUUUAAAAAGUUUUAUUAUUUCAUUUAUGUAUAAGAGGGAGAUUAUAUAUAUAUGUAUAAGAGGGAGAUAUUAUAUAUAUAUAUAUAUAUAUAUAUAUAUAUAUAUAUAUAUAUAUAUAUAUAUAUAGAGAGAGAGAGAGAGAGAGAGAGAGAGAGAGAGAGAGAGUGUAUGCUUUCAGGCACCCUUGGAAGCUAGAAGAGGAUGUCGGAUCUCCUGGAAUUUGAGUUCUAGGCAGAUAGUUGUGAGAAGCCCAUGUGGGUGCUAGGAUCUGAACUCAGGUCCUCUGGAAAAGCUGCAAGUGCUCUUAACCAGUGAGCCAUCUCUUCAGCUGCCCCACCAACAUGCUUUAAAGUUGAAAUAACAAUAACUUAGAAAAUACAAAUUCACAUCAAAGAACUGAGAAAAUGCAUCCCCUCCUCCAUUUAAAUUAUUUAUUUAACUUUAUUUUUUGUUUUCAAGACAGGAUUUCACUAUGUUGCCCUCAAUGACCUGGAAUUUGCCAUGUUCACCAUGCUAGCCUUGAACUCACAGAGAUCCACCUGCCUCUGCCUCCUGGGUGCCUCUUAAUUUAAAAGACAGAUGCAGCUGGGCUGGAGAGAUGGCUCUUCCAGAGGACCUGAGUUCAGAUCCCAGCACCCACAGCCAAUGGCUUACAAUUGCUUGUAAGUCAAGGUCCAUGGGAGCCCAUAGCCUAACUUCUGGCCUCUGCCUCUUGGGGACACCUGUGUUCACAUGCACAUACCUCUUCCUGCUACCGGUAAUUAAAAAAAAUUCUUCAAGAAAGUAUGGCUACACCCAGUUUGAACCCAAACAAGCAUCUCCUAAGAGCGUGCACCUCUGGUCCAGGAGGGCCAGAAUUCAGGAAAAGGGUUAGGUUACAGCUGCUUAACAGCAAGCUAGCAGAGACUUACCCAGCAUUUUUGCAUUCCAAUCACACUAACACAUAAGGAUGGGACUCAGACAAACAUUCCACCUUCAGUAGCCAAAUCUGUGAACAGCACAUGUUCUCCAAGGACUGAGAGGCCCCCAAGGCCAUCAGGGAACUUCUGAUAUGUCAUUGUUACGUGUUUUCUGUGUUGGUCUCCUGAGCUGCCGGGUCUCUCAGUGCCUGUGCCUGCACAGGGUAACAGGCCUGCCACGUGGCCCUGCUAAGUAGAGGACCGAGCCCAACCCAGGCUACUUGGGCCUUCACAUGGCAGAGUCUCUGGCUCUUCUCCUCCGGGAAACCACCACCUGUACAACCUCUGGUCACUAGGCCUGCUCCUUGGUGGCUUCCUUCUGCUGAAUACCCAAGGGUCCCAUUCAGGCAGCUCUGAGGAUGGUGGAUGCCUUGUGUUAUUCCUGGAAGGGCAAUCUGACCCCACCUUAUGAGCCAAGGACGGCAAUGCCGACACACUGGGAAGCCCUCGUGGGGUACCAGGGAGACCUGGGCUCCCUUUCCAUGGGCUGCCUCUUCCCUAGCCAGGGCAGAGCUCAGUGGUUUUGCAUGCACAUUCUACAUUCCUCACUCACCAGAUACCCUGAGACAUUUCUUUUCCCCUUCCAAGAAGUCACUUCAGUGUUCCUUAGCUGAUUUCACAAGUGAACGUCUCUCUUAGAAGACAUUUCUUCUAAGCCUAAGCUCUGAAUCUCCUGGCUACACACAGGGUCUCUCUGUGUAACAGCCCUGGUUGUCCUGGAUCUCGCUCUGUAGCCCAGGCUGGCUUCAAACUCACAGAGAUCCGCCUGCCUCUGCCUCCUGAGUGCUGGCAUUAAAGUCAAGCACCACCACCACCACCCAGCUCAGCCUGAGCUCUUAAGACUAAAUGUCUCUUAUGAAUUUGCAAAGCCACUGUAGCCCAGUCACUGCCUGGCCCUUGUCCCUUGGCUGACACACACAUAUACAUAUACUCACAUACCAUAAAUAAAUGCAAAAAAGAAAAAAAGAUUUUGAAAGUCUGUUCAAAAUGUCAAGUACCUAUGAUCUCAAAGUUUUUGGGAAUCACUGCUCUCCAUCUGGGACUGAACACAGAGCCUUGUGGAUGCUGGCCAAGUGACCUACCACUAAGCCACAUUCUCAGCCCUAGGAAUUUUCUAUCUUGAAACUGAAUUUAUGCUCAAGCGUCCCCUUAACAGCCUUAUCUGUUCCAUGUCACUAUUAUUCCCCAGCAGCAGCCCUGGAAAUACAGUUCCCCUCCCUGGGACCCACCUGCUGACAUGGCCCUAGACUGCUGGAAAUGGGGAGCUGAACUUGAAGAAGGCCUGGGAGAGGGAAGCGAAGCAAGGAUAUAAAAACCUCUCAAGAACAAGGCAUGGAAGAAACACCAGUUCAGAGGAGGGCAGGGUACAGGGUGGAUGCAUGUAUUAAUUUUUAAAUUUUCAAAAAUUGUGUGUGUGUGUGGUGUAUGUAUAGAGGAUGUUUGUGUGUAGGUUAAUAUGGGUGUGUAGGUGUGCGUGUAUAGGUGUGUGUGUGUAGGUUUAUGUGUGUGUAUAGGGGAUGCUUGUGUGUAGGUUUAUGUGGGUAUAUAGGGGUGUGUGUGGGUGUAUGUGUGAGUAUAGGGGAUGUUUGUAUGUAGGUUUAUGUGUAUGUGUAUAGGGGAUGUUUGUGUGUAGGUUAAUGUGGGUAUACAGGUGUGUAUGUGUGUGUGUGUGUGUGUAUAGGGGAUGUUUGUGUGUAGGUGUGUGUGUGUGUAGGUGUAGGCCAGAGGACAAUCUACAGGAGUUGGUUCUUUCCUUUCACCUGAGUGGAUCUAACUCAAGGUCAUUAAGGCUCAGUGCCUGAACUGACGUCCUGCCCCAGCUUCCCGAGUACUGGUAUUAUGGGUGUACAUCAUCACCCUACUUGAAGAUGGGUCUAUAGUAACAAGGGUUCAGACUUGGCAUCCAGUGAAGUCCCCUUUCCUCCUAUCACUGUCCGGAAAAAGCAGGUUGUUUCUGACGUUGCUGUGAAUAUGAUUAGCAAAAAUCAUCAGUACAAAGUCAGACUGGCUACAGCACACGACAGGCACCCUAACCAGAAGCCACUCUGUAAGUGACAAGGAAAGCUGCAACAGCUGUAGGAAUGCAAGGGCACUGAGACUCGGUGGAGGGGACACAAAACUAAGUCAGACACAGUCUACAAAGGCGAGUGGAAAAGCUUUUCUGGAGUACAAAUCCUGAUAUUCCCCUUAUUAAAUUUACACACGGAGGAGUUGCUACUCGAGACAAGAAUGGAAACCGUGAGACUUGGGUCUAACUGCCUGCCCUCUACAGGAAACUCAUCUAGGAGUUAAGUUGGCCUCAUGAAGUUAUGAUGAGAGUCAUUUCUUGAAAUUACCUAAAAAGUAAUCCAUGUUGGUAUAAUUCAGAUUAAAAUUUGUUUUUUACGAAGUCACAGUGUCCUCCAGGUCAAUGAUGAGGUCAAACACACUGACGUUAUUCUGGAAUGUGUGUAGGCCUGGGGGAGAAAGGAGGCCAGCAGCCGUGUGUCUGUCCAGUCCUCACUUUGGAAGGGGCAGCCUGGCCUGCCCCAAUGUCCUCCUGUCUUGGCAUUCAGGGCUGCUGGGCUCUACAGGUGCUAUGCUUUGGGGCUCUCUGGGACUCUCUUUUGUCCUGGCCUCUGUCCCAACAAGGGAGCCCUGGGACCCAUUGCAGACUUGCCCCAGCUCUGUCCCACUCAUGCUGCUGAGAAUGACCUGUCAAAGUAGCCUGAGCAGCUGGGCACAGUGGCCCAUGCCUGUAAUCUCAGCGCUUGGGAGGCGGAGGCAGAGGACCAGGCAUUCAGGACCAACUAGGGCUACAUGAGACGGCCUCAAAACCAACCAACCGGUCAACCCAACCCAAACAAACCAUUCCACAAACAGAAGCAGCCCCGACCAAACCGUGCCUUGGGGAGUCUCACUGCCUCCUUCCGUGGCUCUUUUCUCAUGGGAGUAUGUUCUCAGGUCUCUGGGCUGUGGCUCCUUCUGCUGCUCAGCUCCUUCUCCGUCCUAGUCAACCUUCUCGAGGUACCCCUAUCUUUUCAUCUGCCUACGUGAAUCCCCCUCCCCACUUCGUCUCGGCUCACUGUCACUGUCCUCUCUUUGGAGCUCUUCCCCAUCUAAGGAGACUCGAGUACCUUGCCUUUACUCUUUUUGAUUCUUCCCAGAAUUAGCAAUCAGGGUAGCAUGCUGACUCCCACUGUUUAAGGGGUGCAGAGGGGUACAUCCCUGCUGUGCCUUGUCAGAGCCUACUUAGUGGGAAUAUCCAUGAAAAAAGACCUCCACUAUCUCAAAAUAGUUAAAACACAUAACUGCCAUAUGACCUGAAACUCCACUCCCAAGUACAGACCCCAAAGAACUGGGACUUAACAACAUGUACAUGGACAAUCAAAGAAACACUCUUUUCAACAGUCAGAGGGAGGUAACGAACCAACGCCCAUACAUUAACAGAUGAAUAUAGAGACAAAACACGGCAUGUCGACAUAAUGGAAUAUUACUAAGCCACACAAAGUAAGUCUUGCUUCAGCCUACAAAGUGAACGGGCCUUAUAAACACUGAAUAACGGCGAGCACCAGUGCAUGUUAUACCGUUCCAUUAGAUGAAGUAUCUAGAGAAGGAAGGGUCCUGGAGACAGGAAGCAGACUGCUGGCCUUCAGGGGCUGCUUAAUGGCUGUACUUCUUCAGAGGAGUGAUAAAAAUGUUCUGGAACCACAUAGUAGUGAUGGUUACAUAACACUGCAAAUAUAUUAAAUGUCACUGACUGUAUACUUUCAAAUGGUUCAUUUUGGGCUGGCAGGAUAGUGGACAAAGACGCUUGCCUCAAGGGCCUGACAACCUGACCUGGAUCUCCAGAUACCACACAAAGGCUGUCCUCUUGGCUCCACAUGCAAGCUAUGGCAGGGCACUCCCCGCCCUCAAAAACAAUCAAACUUUAAAUGUGGUGCUGCCAACUGAACCUGGGUCCUUUGCCGGACGGAACAAGUGUUCUUUAUCACUGAGCCACCUCUCUAGGCCUAAAAAGGUUAUAAUUUUAUGUUAUAUAAUUUUCAAAUCAAUUUAAAAAAAGGAGGAGUUUCAAGGAAAUGUGGCAGGCAGCAUGGUCAGAAAAGAGGACUCUCGAUAAGGCAUUCAAGAAAAAUGGGAGCUUAAGAAGUGCCUGUUCCAUGAGCACUGUCCUUAGACAUAGUCCCUAAGCCUGAGAAGGGAACAGACCCAGGGUUAAAGGGCCUGUUCCAUGAACACUGUCCUUAGACACAGUCCCUAAGCCUGAGAAGGGAACAGACCCAGGGUUAAAGGGCCUGUUCCAUGAGCAUGUCCUUGCACACAGUCCCGAAGUCUGAGAAGGGAACAGACCCAGGGAUAAAGAGUGAGGAGGCCUGGGCGCAUAGCUCAGUGGUGGGGUGUGCUUAGCAGGCAUGACACCCUGGAUUCCAUCCUUGGACAACAAAUCAAGCAAUGAAGAUCGGUAGGAAAGUGGGGAGGCUACCCUCCUCCCUAUGGGCGGGCCUGGGCUCGGAUUAGGACACGGUGUAGGGCAGGACGACUAGAGUGUGUGCAAGCCCAGGGGGGUGGUCGGCACAGCCCCUAAGCAAGGCUGCUUUCCUGCACCUCAGCCCAGUUAGCAAUGAAGCCAGGGGUUUCCCAUCCAAGUCACCUGCCUGGCUAGCCUCAGAUGGCAGUGGACUCUGAGGCCUGGAGCUCCAGGGGAACAGGGAUGGCAUCACAAAGCCGCAAGGAGAAAUCUCUUUCCCCAAUUACGUGGACCCACGUGUCUGCUUCAUAGUUAGGAUUUUCAUAAAGCUUUUAAGGAAGGCGAUUCCCUGACAUCACACGUAAAAAAUGCCAAAUACGAUCAGAUCACUGAGGGCAUUCUUGGAAGAGAAGGCAGCCUUGAGGCUGGCUGGGGUCCCCUGUCUUCUCCCUUAGGGCCACUUGCUGCUCUUGAUCCCAGCCCUCUGGGUGCCCCCUCUGUCAGCUCAGCUGUCCAGUGGCCCUCAUCUGAACAACACUGGAGAACUGUAUGCUCCCCAGAGGUGUGGUAGAGUUUCUGGGGAGCGGCAUGUGUCGUUCCACCCUGGGCCAGCCUACAGUGGGGGUGAAGGAAGGGAAUCUCCUUCUACUGGGAUCCUUAGGAGUCACUGUUAAACUGCCUUUCCCCUUCCCAGUUCAUUCUGCAACCAGAAAUGUUCCAGGCUUGGGAAACAGAGGUUUGCUUUUUUUUUUUUUGAGACAGAAACAAACAAACAAAACAAAAAUAGGGUCUCUCUAUGUAGCCCUGGCUGUCCUGGGACGCACUCUGUAGACUAGGCUGGCCUUGAACUCACAGAAAUCCAUCUGCCUCUGCCUCUGGAGUGCUAGGAUUAAAGGCCUGUGCCGCUGCCGCCGCCGCCGCCGCCGCCGCCGCCGCCGCCACUGCCGCUGCCGCCGCCACCACCACCACCCGGCUUGAAACAGUGAUUUUUCUUAAAAGCCUAUUUUAGAUGGCUUCUGGCUUCGGAAGGCUCAGGGACAGGGCACUUGCUCAGCAUGUGUGAGGCUCUGGUUUUGAUCUCCAGGGGGAGGGGAGCCAUUAUGAAAACAGUUCUUCAGUCCAAAUCUGUUGUGCUGGGACACACUCAUCGCUCCUGUCAUCCUGUGUCCCCUUCCUCCUGGCAGAUGUACUGUACUCCAGCCCUCCAGCUGCAGCCGCGCCUUCUCCUCCCGGCCUCUGCUUUGGAUACCCGGCACUCUCAGCCGGCCUGUCUCUCCCUCUGCAGUCCACCCUAAGCACUUGGCAGUCUUGUGAACCUGAGCAGCGGAGCUGGCCUUCUGCUGCACGUUAGGCAUACUCAGUGCCCUUCACAUCAGGAAGACGUCCUGUUGGCAUUUGCUUUCCUCGUCCUUCAAUCCGUCAAUCCCAGUUUCGAUGCUCCAAAUGUUUUGUGAGCUAUGGAAUCCCCCCAUCUUAUGGAUGGUGAAACCGACACCCAAGAAUGGUGCCAACUAGUUCAGAUGGGAAGUCACUUCUGAUUCCGGGUCAGCCGCCUAUCUCCAAAACAGCACAGCUCUGCAAAGCUCUCCUGUCCAGAUGGGAACACUGGCCUGGGUCAGGAGAUGCUCUGUGCUGGGAAGAGGGAUGGAGAGAUGCACACAGAGAAUGGGCAGCAGAGUCUGAGGCAGUCAGUGGGUUCUGAUGCAGGGGAGCUCAGAGGACUGUCCAGAGUAGACUAUCUGGUGUUUGGAGGGAGCCAGAGCAGGAAAGCAGAACGCUAUGAAGAAUCCACCAUAACUGAGAGGGGUCGACUUCCCUGGUUAGUCAGGCCUAGGAGGAUUCUAAGGUUUCUUCUGAUCAGGCCAACUUAGUGGGAAUCUCCCCGCACCCACACCAUUACAGUCUAGGCCACUCCCACCUUCCCCAGGGGCAUCUGUUCGAGGAGGAUGCACAUGAGCUCAGCCUGGAUAUGGGAGCCCUUCCUUCCUGCUCAAGGUGAAGGUCAGUGAUUCACAUGGCUAAAAAUGAACUGAAGGCCACCCAUUAAAAACAGCAACAUGCUCUCAAAAGUUCAAUUCCCUUGUUACCACAAACGCUUAUUUAGUCACUGUAACUCUAACUCGCACUCAAAUAUGUACACUGAACUGCAGUACAAACAAAAUGAGGAAAGAGAAGGUCAGGGUGGGAAAGCCACAGAGACACAGCCCCCCCCCCCCCCGGCAGGAGUGGGAGGGUCUGCGGCCCUGACAAUGUGUCCUGGUGUUCUAAUACUGCUUCGUGUUGCUAGUGCCUUUACCUGGAAGCUUCCAGAGAGAGGGGAGCUAGGGUAAAUACAGGUCACUGGGCUUCAUUUGAAUUUUAGGUAAACAAUGGAUUAUAAUUGUUUACUAUCAGUAUUUCCAAAUAAUGUCCGGGGUGUUGAAGUUUAUGAGUGAGUGAGGCGCUUUACUAAGGCAUUUUGCUAAGUUGUGGUGAACUCAGGAGUCAGGAUGAGGGGUGCGGUGGGUUACAGACCUCCUGCCAUGGUCCCCUGUCAGCUUUUGGUCUCUGAGCACUCUCCUCUUCAGCUGAGACUGUUCUGCCUCUGUCCCUGCAGAGGGGCUACAGAAACUACACCCAACUUCACAGGACUUCCCCUGGACUGCAGGGAACAUGGCCUGUGGGAGGCUUCCAGAAGGUUCUGGAGGUUCCAUGGUAGGAAGUAAGGUUGUGGGAGCACAAAGGAACCCUCAACACUAAAACAAACAUUGUCCCUAAGUCUUGGGGAGUUCAAAAAGGAAUUUUCAAUUCAGUUUAGCUGCCACACAGCUUUCUGAGUAGAGUGCCUAAGCUGGCUUCCCCAGCUAAGGAAGAAGGGAGCUUUCAGUUCUUUAUGGCACGUUCACUGGGCACUGGCUGAGGACCCACAGUGAUGGGCGACAGGGAUCACCGCAAUUUGUUAAGGAGCCAAAAGAGGCUGCCUUGAGACAAAAACAAAGACUCGAUACUUUGAGUCCAUGAGUCCUGAAGUCCAGGGAGUCUUCAGUCAUGGCUGCUGGCUAGGGAAACCUGGCAAGGUCACACAUCACCACUGGCUGCAGCUGUUUAACCCCGUGCUGACUGCCACUGAAUGCACACCUGGCUGUGCAUUCACACACUCACACUCCUUGCUAGGUCCCUGCAGUUGGAGGGGACUGGAAUGUAUAGUAUAGCUUUCUAGAUGUACAAGUCCUGGCUGUCCUGGCUCUCACAUUGUAGACCAGGCUGACCUCAAACUCACAGAGACCUGCCUGCCUCUGCCUCCCGAGUGCUGGGAUUAAAGGUGUGCACCACCACCACCUGGCUUCAUUUUCUUUUUUUAAAAUAAAAAAUUUACAUUUUAUUUAUUUAUUUUAUUUAUUUAUUUAUUUUGUGAGCAUUUGUGGAUGUGUGUGUACAAGUGUGUAUAUGUGCCAUAAGCAUGUGUGUAAAGUCAGAGGAAACUUGUGGGAAUUGGUUCUGUCCUUCUACCACGUGGGGUCCAGGGAUCAAAUUCAGCUUGUCAGGUUUGCUGGCAAAUGCCUUUACCCACCGAGCACCUCACUGGCUUCUUUUCCUUCCUUGAGACUUGCUAUUUAGCCCAGGCCAUGCUUGAACUUGUGACAAUCCUCCUGCUGAUGUUAGGAUUACAGGCAUGCACACAAUGCCCAGUAUGUUCUGUUCCUUUCCCAAACAGCAGUAUCUCAUGGUGCCUGUACAUGCUAAUUCAUAUGGAUCUACGCCAUGACUUUUACCUUCUGCUGUCUAGGAAGGGAUUCAAGUUUAUUUAAUUCUUUGGUGUACACUUGGGUUGUUUUAUCUAAAUAGUAUUAAAGGGCUUGACACUGUCCCCCCUGAACAUGGAGGGCCUCACAAACCAUAGCAGUGUCUCUGUUGUUCAAGCUUCUCUUGGAAGCACUGGUAAAGGGAUACCUAACACUUUACAUUUCACUUCCAUCGUACUAAGCAACUUAAUUUGGAAACGUAGAUGUCAGUGCACUUCAUCCUCUGAGUGUGUGUCCUCCAGGAUGCCUGUUCACGUUAUUCUUUCCUUUUUAUUUCUUCUGGUGCUGUGGACGGAACCUAGGAACUACUUGCAUGCUCUACCACUGAGCUACCUGCUCCCCUUAAGCCUACUUUCUCCUUCAAAAAUUUUUUAUUUUACAUGUGUGGGUGUUUUGCCUGUGUAUAUAUCUAUGCACCACGUGUGCCUGGUACACAGAGGAGGCCAGAAAAGGGUAUCAGAUCUUCUGGAUGUAGAUGUUGAGAAUUGAACCCAGGUCUUCUGGAAGAGCAGCCAGUGAUCUUGACCACUGAGCCAUCUCUCCAGCCCCCCUCUCCCCACUUCUGAGACAAGAUUUCUCUGUGUAGCUUUGGCGCCCUUCCUGGAACUCACUCCGUAGACCAGGCUGGCCUCAAAUGCACAGAGAUCCGCCUGGCUCUGCCUCCCGAAUGCUGGGAUUAAAGGUGUGCGCCACCACCGCCCGGCUCCUUACUCUCUUUCUAUAAGCAUUGUAAAGCUGUGAAAGUUUCACUCUGUGAUCUGUGAAGUCAUACUACGAUCACCACCUAUGUCUACUAUUUGAAACACAUUCUGUUCUUCCUCUUGCUGUUUACCUAGAAUAGUUCUAAGCAUCCCUUUAUUUCCAGAGACUGUGUUAUUAAAGGGGCAUCCCUUUAUCAAAAAGACAGAGAGGUACACCUGUUCCCUUUAGAAAGAUUAAGUCUAGGUAAUGUGCCCAGCCCAUUUCUUUGCACACCUCGCAGUUAAGCAUGAUCAUGUUAUUAAGUGGUAGCUGAUGAAAUAAGUGGAGUGUACCACAGAACUCUGGGAAAAUCCUCAAAGGGGAAAAGACAUGCUCUCGGAUGUUCCUUCUUCUCAUGUGCAAUGAGUCUGGCAUGACUAAGGCUUCCAGCAGCCAUACUGGUCCAAGCAGUGACCCAGGAACCUGCGGAUGCCUGGGAUAGUGAGGCAAAGACAGAGCAAGUUUGGAUUCCAUGAAACACAGAGCUGUCAUUCAUGGCUCCCUCAUUGUGAAUCGUUAUUUGGUUUGUCUAUGACAUGCAGAUAUCAGGAUUACCAAAUGCUCUACUAGAUUUUUGUCUUAAAAAAAGUGCUGUACCUGAUGGUCCAUACCUGUAAUACAAGCUGUUCAAGAAGCCGAGGCAGAGGGGCUGCAAGUUCAAGGCCUGUGUAGUCCACAGUGAGUGCAGACUUCAUGAGACCUUAUCUCAAAAUGAAAAGUAAAAAGAAUCCCGGGGAUGCAGAUCAGUGGUGGAGUCCUUGCCAAGACAGCGCAAGAACCCAUAAUCAGUCCUCAAUAAAAAAGCCCUUAACCUGACAUUGUCAUUACCAUUCUUUCCACUUUCUUGUAUCAGGUGGACCAGCAGUUAUUCCGGAAGGGCUGGAGAGAUGCUCAGAGGUUAAGAGCUUGCACUGCUCUCGCAGAAGACUUUGGUUAACUUUCUGGCACUCCUGCCAGGCUGCUCACAGCUGUCUGUAGUCCAGUUCCAAGGAAGCUGGUACCUCUCGGGCCUUCAUGUGGACUUGACUUAUGUGCUUGCGCUCUCGCUCUCUCUCUCUCUCUGUGUCUCUCUGUCUCUCUCUCUCUCUCUCUCUCUCUCUCUUAAAAUAUGUUUUAAAAGGCUUAGCAAAUCUGAUGAUCAUUUAUUUUCCAAGAUCACUACCCCAUUGUUUUUGAGACAAGGUCUCAUGCAGUCAAGGCUGACUCUGAACUCCCUACAGAGCAGAAGAUGAACCUGAACUGAUCCUUUCCUCUCUACUUGACAAGUGCUGGAUUACAGGCAUCCUCCACCACGCCGAACCCAGGGGCAUCUUGCCGCGUUCUUUGUACUGCAUGAAAAGAACCUUUACUGAGCUGUUCCCCUCCUGAUUUAGAGUGCUAGGGUGGUAUCUGAGGUUGGAAAGCCAGCAUGUGGGCUCUGGGGACACGGCUCAGUUGGUGCAGUGUUGCCACGCAAGCGUGAGAACAGAGUUUGGAUCCCUGGCACCCAUGUAAAAAGCUGGAUGCAGUGGCAUCUGCCUGUAACCCUAAAGCUGGGAGGCAGAGACAAGAGGUUUCCUGGCUACUUGGGGAGCUCCAGCUUCGGUGAGGGUCCUUGUCUCAAAAACUAAGGUGGAGCAUGGUGGAGGAAGAUACCAGUGUCAACCUCUGGUCUCCAUAUGCACAUUGCACACACGUGUACCACCCCCUCAAAAGACACAAAGAGUGCUUGGCCACUGCGGCACACACCUUUAAUCCCAGUACUUAGGAGGCAGAGGCAGGUGGAUCUCUGUGAGUUCGAGACCAGUCUAGUCUACCUCAGAAGUUCCAGGUUAGCCAGGACUAAGAGAGGCCCUGUCAAAAAGACCUGAAGAGCAGUCUUUGGCUGGUACCCACCCCGUCUCCUAGCUUCCUUCCUCUUCCUACCUGCUCCAGACUCACCCUCCGUUCAUCUUCCCCAGCUCACUUAGCAGGGAGCUAAGACGAGCUGGACCGAGCUAGAACAACCAUGCAUUAUCCCAAGCUACGCCUGCAUUAGAAACGCCAUCCUGUCUCCUCAAAUCUCCCAACCCAUCAAGUCCAGCACUGUAAAACACAAAUAGUGGGAGUUUCAUUCCGUUUUCCUGGUGACGGCCAGCCCCAUCUGAGGCGAACCCUGUGACCAGCUCCCUUUCUCUCCAGGUGGCUGGCCGUGGGUCUAGCAGGCUGUGUCACUGGGCAUCUUGCCUACUGGGUACUUACUUAAAAAAAAGUCUGUGGCUUCUGGGGAAUGGAUGUUGUGAAAUGGAGUGAAAAGAACUUGAAGUCUGAAGCGAGUGAACUUUCCCUCUCCUCACAUGUGAGUAAUGACCUGCUGAUAGGAGCAGCUCUUUCAAGGAUGGAAAACAACUAAGAUUUAUGGACAGGUCUGUUGAAAACGGCCAGCACUGCUCGUAGCCAAGGUGGAAAGGUCAGGCGAUUCCUAGAUCUAUUCUAGGUUGAGAGGGUGAGCAGGAAGGGGAUGGGAAGAGAGAAGGCAGGAGGCCAGGGUGGGUACAGAAUGUAGGCAGGCUGGCCCGCUGGGAGACUUCCUGUGGACAUUCUGAGUUUUAUGCUGGUGUGAACAGAACCCCUGUGUACAGCACAGGGUGGUCAGUGAAGGCCUGUGCCCCCUGCAGAGCCCUGCUGCACACACUCUGAGGGAAAUGGGGUAGGGAUGACUGGACGGAUGGAGAUGGAGGGGUGUUGUCUCAGAAAGACAAUUCUGCUUCUGAGGGCUCUGACCACUCACUGUGUGUUGGGAAGCCACCAGAAAAAUAUCCCUGCCAGUUUCUCAGAGUCAAAUCCAAUUUUUGGCCAGAAGCUAUUCAUGUUUGGAUCAGUCUCUUACUUAUAACUCCUGAAGGGUGAGGGAGGAGCGGAGGCCCAGACUAAGGGUGCUGGGUAUAAUGUGAUACUGCACGUGACCCCCUCCUGUGAGUGCAGAGCCAAUGAUUUCAAGUGUGGUUGUAUAACCACAUCUUCAUCUUCAAAGUAUAAAAAUAGAGUGUGGACUAUCCAACAGGCCACCCCAUCACUUCACAGGCUGGAGAGGUCAGAGGACUUCCAUCAUCAUGGCCUGGUGGCAAGGCUUGUAAUACCAGGGACUUUUACUCUCUGGUAUGACCGGACUGAAGUGCUUGGGGAACCUGGCCAACCCAGCCUGCAAGGCUCAUUCUGGCUCGCAAGGGGCCACUGGGUCUACAGGGAGGCUAGGCAGGAAACCCGACCACCUCGAGGUCCACAGCCAUCUUCAUCUCCAAAAGCAGAGUGCUAGAGAGGCCAAGUCAUGGCCUCAGGCAGCCACUCUGUGCCGGUGUGCCUGCCAACCUGCUGGCACUGGAGGCCUGUCCUUCAAAAGCUCCUGGUGUGGGUGAGUGGAUGAGUCUCCUGCUGGAGAAACACCAGAACUGAAGAGGGUGGGUCUGACCAAAGAGACAGUGCUGAGGUCUGAAAGGCUGUGUGGACAAGGAGGUUCAAGGAACUGCCUGGGCCUUAAGAACCCAAGACACUUAUGCAGGCUGACCCAGCACAGCCCAGGACAACACUCACACGCGCGUGAAGUGGGUAUAGGCAAGGUGAAUCUACACGGACCGGGGACUCUCCCCACUCUUGGGUCCUUCCAAAGCAUGACUCUGCCGUGCCCCUCCACAUCUCUAGUCUUUAGACUCUAAGUGCCACCACCUACUUAAUUCUCCUUGCGGUCGAUUCUAACUACAUGCUGAUGUAACCACAAGGCUCGUCUUCUGACCAAGCCUUUGCAUUUUGGGUGUUGGAUGGGGCCUGAGAAGUAGAACAGGGACCCACAUUUACAUUUAUGAAGAUAGUGACAAUUUUUCAAUCAAAAUUCUUAUAUGAUUUCCCUUUCUCAUAAACGUGGCUGUGUGAGUUACUAAGAUAACACAACAUGGAUGCACAUGAGGUGAAAUCUGCUGUCUGUGAGUGGUACCACACUGGAGAGCAGGGGCUCCCAACAGCCAAGGCCGGGGCUCAGAUUCACGCAUGUCUGAGUCCCCAGCUGUUCGUGUGUAUGCUGCUGUCUCUCUUCAGUACUAGGACUCUGUAAGGACAAGAGGAUGCCAACAAGAUGGCACGUGAGAGGUGUGCAUCUAUUUUCUAACCCAUCUCCCCAUCACAUGGAGAAACAGACUUUUAGCUGAGCAUGUGGGCACUUAGCUCAUCUGACAGUCUGGGGGCUCUGGCUGGGACCUGUAGAGCAUGAGCAGGUCUUGGCUGCUAAGACUGAUGGGGGCAGUGAUGUACUAUUACAGUGGCCUGCCUUCCUUCCGAUUCACCACUGUGCAGAUGGAAGUGGGGCUGGACCUGCCAUCUCGAACCACAAGAGGGAUGGCACACAUAGAAGCUGCAGCAGCAGGGAAGAAGGUGAGGGUCCCUUAUGACAGGACCACCACAGUAGCCUGCUGGGCCGUCCGUCAGGCAGUGAACCGCCGAGCUGUGUAAGCUGCCAUGAACUUGGUCUGUGUUACGACAUCACAUCCAUGCCUACUAAAACACCAGUGGCUUCUAGCUUGAAACCAGAGUCCCCUUCAACAGAUGGCUCAUUGGUUCUAUCUGGUACUGUCAUUACCUCUGCUGGAGGUGAGGGGAGGGAGGCAAGAUCACAGUGGAAGGGAGGAGCCCAGAGAAGAUAAGCCACUGCCAAGGUCAGCUUUUUGACUCUCACCGUGUCGCUCUAGCUGGCCUGGAAUUCAGAGAUCUGCCUGCCUCUGCCUCCCAAGUGCUGGGAUUAAGGUCAUGUGCUACCUACCACACCCAGCUAAGAAAUUCAUUUUGACAAGCUCCCUCAGUACACUCGCUGAAGAUAUCCUGUCCUUUUAGACACACAGGACACUUGCCGCCUCAGAGAGCUGGCCAAAGCACAGCCCCUAGGACCCUGUCCAGUGACUAUACAUAAAGCCACAUCCAAACUACUGUCCUGUGCUCUUUACAUAUGUUGGGAUUCUGCUGUGCUCCAGCUGCAUGACUGCACAUGCGCAGUUCAGGAGCUAGACAAGGGGUCUUGAGUUUUAUGUCAUCAGUGUACGCGGGUGAUUACGUAUGUGUGGCUGUGAUCACGCAAUCUGUGCAUGUGUGUUGUAGCUCCAUAAGCCCACAUGUGCUUUAAAGAGCUGUGACUCAGACCCCACCCUCUCUCUGUUCUGUUCUCUCUUUCCCCACCAUCUUUCCCCCUCUCUCUGCACAUGCUCCUUCCCCAGACCUGGUUCUCUUGUUCCCCCCCACCCCUCUUCCUCCUAAUAAAGCUCUGAUACUGA
This is a long non-coding RNA of Peromyscus californicus insignis, 15505 nucleotides long. RefSeq lists it as uncharacterized. The record is from RefSeq and is a predicted model, not a curated record. NCBI's taxonomy places the organism in Eukaryota, Metazoa, Chordata, Mammalia, Rodentia, Cricetidae. The transcript has 2 exons.